AUUGAACGCUGGCGGCAUGCCUUACACAUGCAAGUCGAACGGUAACGCGGGGCAACCUGGCGACGAGUGGCGAACGGGUGAGUAACGCAUCGGAACGUGCCCAGUAGUGGGGGAUAGCCCGGCGAAAGCCGGAUUAAUACCGCAUACGACCUACGGGUGAAAGGGGGGGAUCGCAAGACCUCUCGCUAUUGGAGCGGCCGAUGUCAGAGUAGGUAGUGGGGGGGGUAAAGGCCUACCAAGCCGACGAUAUGUAGCUGGUCUGAGAGGACGACCAGCCACACUGGGACGGAGACACGGCCCAGACUCCUACGGGAGGCAGCAGUGGGGGAUUUUGGACAAUGGGCGAAAGCCUGAUCCAGCCAUGCCGCGUGCGGGAAGAAGGCCUUCGGGUUGUAAACCGCUUUUGUCAGGGAAGAAAUCUUCUGGGUUAAUACCUCGGGAGGAUGACGGUACCUGAAGAAUAAGCACCGGCUAACUACGUGCCAGCCGCCGCGGUAA
This 498-nucleotide ribosomal RNA is filed under the name uncultured bacterium. RNAcentral's name for it is "partial 16S ribosomal RNA". It matches the Rfam family "Bacterial small subunit ribosomal RNA", at positions 29 to 523 of the family's 1533-position model. The record is from RNAcentral.